AACGCGAAGAACCUUACCUGGUCUUGACAUCCUGGGAACCCUGAAGAGAUUUAGGGGUGCCGCAAGGAGCCCAGAGACAGGUGCUGCAUGGCUGUCGUUAGCUCGUGUCGUGAGAUGUUGGGUUAAGUCCCGCAACGAGCGCAACCCUUGUCCUUAGUUGCCAUCAUUAAGUUGGGCACUCUAAGGAGACCGCCGGUGACAAACCGGAGGAAGGUGGGGAUGACGUCAAGUCAUCAUGGCCUUUAUGACCAGGGCUACACACGUGCUACAAUGGUAGAUACAGAGGGAAGCCAACUCGCGAGAGGGAGCCAAUCCCAGAAAAUCUAUCGUAGUCCGGAUUGGAGUCUGCAACUCGACUCCAUGAAGUCGGAAUCGCUAGUAAUCGCAGAUCAGCAUUGCUGCGGUGAAUACGUUCCCGGGUCUUGUACACACCG
This 434-nucleotide ribosomal RNA is filed under the name uncultured bacterium. RNAcentral describes it as "bacterial SSU rRNA". It matches the Rfam family "Bacterial small subunit ribosomal RNA", at positions 958 to 1392 of the family's 1533-position model. The record is from RNAcentral.